Molecule: ribosomal RNA, 497 nt
Filed under: uncultured bacterium
Lineage: Bacteria
Description: partial 16S ribosomal RNA
Rfam family: Bacterial small subunit ribosomal RNA
Source: RNAcentral
GAUGAACGCUGGCGGCGUGCCUAAUACAUGCAAGUCGAGCGAACGGACGAGAAGCUUGUUUCUCUGAUGUUAGCGGCGGACGGGUGAGUAACACGUGGAUAACCUACCCAUAAGACUGGGAUAACUUCGGGAAACCGGAGCUAAUACCGGAUAAUAUUUUGAACCGCAUGGUUCAAAAGUGAAAGACGGUCUUGCUGUCACUUAUAGAUGGAUCCGCGCUGCAUUAGCUAGUUGGUAAGGUAACGGCUUACCAAGGCAACGAUGCAUAGCCGACCUGAGAGGGUGAUCGGCCACACUGGAACUGAGACACGGUCCAGACUCCUACGGGAGGCAGCAGUAGGGAAUCUUCCGCAAUGGGCGAAAGCCUGACGGAGCAACGCCGCGUGAGUGAUGAAGGUCUUCGGAUCGUAAAACUCUGUUAUUGGGGAAGAACAUAUGUGUAAGUAACUGUGCACAUCUUGACGGUACCUAAUCAGAAAGCCACGGCUAACUACGUG